Molecule: ribosomal RNA, 1332 nt
Filed under: uncultured bacterium
Lineage: Bacteria
Description: bacterial SSU rRNA
Rfam family: Bacterial small subunit ribosomal RNA
Source: RNAcentral
GGGAAUUCGAUUAGAGUUUGAUCAUGGCUCAGAACGUACGCUGGCGGCACGCCUAACACAUGCAAGUCGAACGAAGUAGCAAUACUUAGUGGCAGACGGGUGAGUAACAUGUGGGUAUCUGCCCUUUGGCCUGGAAUAACACGAGGAAACUUGUGCUAAUACUGGAUAAGUCUUUACGGAGAAAGCUUUAUGCACCAUUGGAUGAGCCCGCACUUGAUUAGUUUGUUGGUGGGGUAAUGGCCUACCAAGACUGUGAUCAAUAGCUGAUUUGAGAGGAUGAUCAGCCACAUUGGGACUGAGACACGGCCCAAACUCCUACGGGAGGCAGCAGUGGGGAAUCUUGCACAAUGGAGGAAACUCUGAUGCAGCGAUGCCGCGUGAGUGAAGAAGGCCCUUGGGUUGUAAAGCUCUUUCGUCGGGGAAGAAAAUGACUGUACCCGAAUAAGAAGGUCCGGCUAACUUCGUGCCAGCAGCCGCGGUAAUACGAAGGGACCUAGCGUAGUUCGGAAUUACUGGGCUUAAAGAGUUCGUAGGUGGUUGAAAAAGUUGGUGGUGAAAUCCCAGAGCUUAACUCUGGAACUGCCAUCAAAACUUUUCAGCUAGAGUUUGAUAGAGGAAAGCAGAAUUUCUAGUGUAGAGGUGAAAUUCGUAGAUAUUAGAAAGAAUACCAAUUGCGAAGGCAGCUUUCUGGAUCAUUACUGACACUGAGGAACGAAAGCAUGGGUAGCGAAGAGGAUUAGAUACCCUCGUAGUCCAUGCUGUAAACGAUGUGUGUUAGACGUUGGAAAUUUAUUUUCAGUGUCGCAGCGAAAGCGAUAAACACACCGCCUGGGGAGUACGACCGCAAGGUUAAAACUCAAAUGAAUUGACGGGGACCCGCACAAGUAGUGGAGCAUGUGGUUUAAUUCGAAGAUACGCGCAGAACCUUACCAACACUUGACAUGUUCGUCGCGACUUUAAGAGAUUAAAGUUUUCGGUUCGGCCGGACGAAACACAGGUGCUGCAUGGCUGUCGUCAGCUCGUGUCGUGAGAUGUUGGGUUAAGUCCCGCAACGAGCGCAACCCUCACUUUUAGUUGCCAUCAUUUAGUUGGGCACUCUGAAAGAACUGCCAGUGAUAAGCUGGAGGAAGGUGGGGAUGACGUCAAGUCCUCAUGGCCCUUACGUGUUGGGCUACACACGUGCUACAAUGGUAUUUACAACAGGAAGCAAAACAGCGAUGUUAAGCAAAUCCUCAAAAGAUACCUCAGUUCGGAUUGCACUCUGCAACUCGAGUGCAUGAAGCUGGAAUUACUAGUAAUCGUGGAUCAGCGUGCCACGGUGAAUGCGUUCCC